RNAcentral lists this transfer RNA (83 nucleotides) under Streptomyces albospinus. Its description in RNAcentral is "tRNA-Leu". It matches the Rfam family "tRNA". From Rfam's summary of the family: Transfer RNA (tRNA) molecules are approximately 80 nucleotides in length. Their secondary structure includes four short double-helical elements and three loops (D, anti-codon, and T loops). The record is from RNAcentral. RNAcentral also lists the same sequence under 5 other names. Lineage: Bacteria; Bacillati; Actinomycetota; Actinomycetes; Kitasatosporales; Streptomycetaceae.
ACCUGCGUGCUGAAAUGGUAGCCAGAAUAAACUUAAGAUUUAUUGUCCUAAAGGGCGUCAGGGUUCAAGUCCCUGCGCAGGUA